UUUAUUCCAUCUUAUAUAAUACUUAAUCUAAUAAUAAUUUUUUUUAAGCUUCAUACUUAUCUAAUAAUAUUUAUCUUUCGACGCUUCAUAAAAUAUUGUCAUCUUUUUAAUUUUUAUAAUAUACAUCGUUAUCCAAUUAUAAUAUCUCCUUGCCUAUCAUAUGCGUGAUUAAUCUCCUUCACUACAACAAAAACGGUCUAUAGCGACACUUUUAAAUGUCGGUACAGGUCAAAAAAAAGUGUUGCUGGCUAAAUUGCCGACACUUUUAAAAAGUGUUGCUAU
RNAcentral lists this long non-coding RNA (282 nucleotides) under Ananas comosus (pineapple). RNAcentral's name for it is "long non-coding RNA (ACOM_LNC026034)". The record is from RNAcentral. Lineage: Eukaryota; Viridiplantae; Streptophyta; Magnoliopsida; Poales; Bromeliaceae.